Molecule: non-coding RNA, 94 nt
Filed under: uncultured Eisenbergiella sp.
Lineage: Bacteria; Bacillati; Bacillota; Clostridia; Lachnospirales; Lachnospiraceae
Description: S10-Clostridia ribosomal protein leader
Rfam family: S10-Clostridia ribosomal protein leader
Source: RNAcentral
UGAUAGCGAUGAAGCGUGAGGUUGCUGCCCGGGAAAAAUCAUAAUCCCAGCAGGUUUUCCGUGGAGCGAAUGUCAAGUUUUAAACUGACGACAA